GGGCGUCAAGCCUGAUGCUAGCCAUGCCGCGUGUAUGUAAGAAGGCCUUCGGGUUGUAAAGUACUUUCAGCAGUGAGGAAGUGGAUAUGUUAAUAGCAUAUUCAUUUGACGUUAGCUGCAGAAGAAGCACCGGCUAACUCCGUGCCAGCAGCCGCGGUAAUACGGAGGGUGCGAGCGUUAAUCGGAAUUACUGGGCGUAAAAGCGCAUGCAGGUGGUUGUUAAGUCAGAUGUGAAAGCCCGGGGCUCAACCUCGGAAUUGCAUUUGAAACUGGCAAACUAGAGUACUGUAGAGGGGGUAGAAUUUCAGGUGUAGCGGUGAAAUAGCGUAGAGAUCUGAAGGAAUACCGGUGGCGAAGGCGGCCCCCUGGACAGAUACUGACACUCAGAUGCGAAAGCGUGGGGAGCAAACAGGAUUAGAUACCCUGGUAG
RNAcentral lists this ribosomal RNA (430 nucleotides) under uncultured bacterium. Its description in RNAcentral is "bacterial SSU rRNA". It matches the Rfam family "Bacterial small subunit ribosomal RNA", at positions 373 to 793 of the family's 1533-position model. The record is from RNAcentral.